This is a small nuclear RNA of Callithrix jacchus (white-tufted-ear marmoset), 112 nucleotides long. Lineage: Eukaryota; Metazoa; Chordata; Mammalia; Primates; Cebidae. The record is from Ensembl.
GUCUACCCCACCACCACUAAGAACAUCAGCUAAAAUUGGAAUGAUACAGGGAAGAUUAGCAUGGCCCUUGCACCAAGAUGAAAUGCAGAUUCAUGAAACAUUACAUCUUUUA